RNAcentral lists this ribosomal RNA (168 nucleotides) under Pterogobius zonoleucus. RNAcentral's name for it is "partial 12S rRNA". Lineage: Eukaryota; Metazoa; Chordata; Actinopteri; Gobiiformes; Gobiidae. The record is from RNAcentral.
CACCGCGGUUAUACGAGAGGCCCGAGUUGAUAAAUGCCGGCGUAAAAUGUGGUCAAUAUACUAAUAUACUAAAGCCAAACAUCUUCAAGGCUGUUAUACGCUAUCGAAGAUAGGAAACUCUUCCACGAAAGUGACUUUAAAUAAUAUUACUCCACGAAAGUCGGGGAA